RNAcentral lists this ribosomal RNA (520 nucleotides) under uncultured bacterium. RNAcentral describes it as "bacterial SSU rRNA". It matches the Rfam family "Bacterial small subunit ribosomal RNA", at positions 8 to 521 of the family's 1533-position model. The record is from RNAcentral.
AGAGUUUGAUCCUGGCUCAGAACAAACGCUGGCGGCGUGUCUUAAGCAUGCAAGUCGAGCGGCAAGGGCAGCAAUGCCCCUAGAGCGGCGGACUGGUGAGUAACGCGUGGGUGAUCUACCUUUGGCAUGAGGAUAGCCAUUAGAAAUAGUGGGUAAUACCGAAUACGUUCGGCACCGUGAGGGUGCUGAGGAAAGGUGCUACGGCACCGGCCGGAGAUGAGCCUGCGUCCGAUUAGCUAGUUGGUGAGGUAAAGGCCCACCAAGGCUAUGAUCGGUAGGCGGCCUGAGAGGGUGUACGCCCACAUUGGGACUGAGAUACGGCCCAAACUCCUACGGGAGGCAGCAGCUAAGAAUAUUCCGCAAUGGACGAAAGUCUGACGGAGCGACGCCGCGUGGAUGAUGAAGGCCGAAAGGUUGUAAAGUCCUUUUGCUGGGGAAGAAUAAGUCUGGGAGGGAAUGCCCGGAUGAUGACAUGAACCGGCGAAUAAGCCCCGGCUAACUACGUGCCAGCCGCCGCGGU